Gorilla gorilla gorilla (western lowland gorilla) is the source of this 796-nucleotide long non-coding RNA. RefSeq lists it as uncharacterized. The transcript is spliced from 3 exons. Lineage: Eukaryota; Metazoa; Chordata; Mammalia; Primates; Hominidae. The record is from RefSeq and is a predicted model, not a curated record.
GGCUCUUCCGUUCUUCCCUAACAAUGGCUGAGGACACCAGCACUUCCUCCCUUCUAGCUUGCUCCCUCUGAGUCACUGCCAUUCCCAGUCACAUGGUGUAAGCAGCUUGGCUUUGCCCCAUGACCCCGGUGGGGGCAGAUAAGGAGACUCCCGUCAUGCUUGAGUCCAGCCUCACUCUCUGGAAAAGUCUGGCCUCCUGCGGCAGCCAAGCAUGGCAGGCCUCUGCCAACAGAGGUUAAGCCAAGCAUCCUCAGACCAUGUCCCAGCUCCAGUUCAGUCUGACCUGCGUGCAGAGAUUAGCAGCCAGCUAGUGGAGUGAAAAGGGAUCUCCUCAACUUGCUUCCCUUUUGCCUUCCUCAAAGGAAGAACUAAGAAGAGGAGGCCAGGAAACAGCUCCUACCUUAAGUGCAUCUGAUGACAAAUGACUCAAAUACCACUUUGCAGAGAGGGAGUCCCAGCUAAAAACUCACGUAGAAUGGAGGAGAACGUUGUUUUUCCUUCCCACACAUGUCUCACACUCACGGCAGAAAGCAAGGAAGAAGGGAAGGGAAAAAUAACACUGGAGUAAGUGCUGUUGGAGAACCUUGUUCACAAGUUUCAAGAAGCCUGUCAGGCCCUGGAAUUAACCUGUUCCCAAAAGAGAUUGGUUGAACUAUGUCCCCAGAUAAACCCUCAGAUUCCCGAAUCUCCAUAUAUCACAUCCUCAACCGGUAGUGGUGUUUGAUCAUCUUCUCCAGAUAUACAGAAGAAUCACAGGAGAUCUGGCAAGAAGCUGCAACAUUUCCUACUAUGUCUG